AAUAGAUACCCGGGUAGUCCACACCGUAAACGAUGAGUGCUAAGUGUUGGGGGGUUUCCGCCCCUCAGUGCUGCAGCUAACGCAUUAAGCACUCCGCCUGGGGAGUACGGUCGCAAGACUGAAACUCAAAGGAAUUGACGGGGGCCCGCACAAGCGGUGGAGCAUGUGGUUUAAUUCGAAGCAACGCGAAGAACCUUACCAGGUCUUGACAUCCCGGUGACCACUAUGGAGACAUAGUUUCCCCUUCGGGGGCAACGGUGACAGGUGGUGCAUGGUUGUCGUCAGCUCGUGUCGUGAGAUGUUGGGUUAAGUCCCGCAACGAGCGCAACCCUUAUUCUUAGUUGCCAUCAUUCAGUUGGGCACUCUAAGGAGACUGCCGGUGAUAAACCGGAGGAAGGUGGGGAUGACGUCAAAUCAUCAUGCCCCUUAUGACCUGGGCUACACACGUGCUACAAUGGACGGUACAAACGGUUGCCAACCCGCGAGGGGAGCUAAUCCGAUAAAACCGUUCUCAGUUCGGAUUGUAGGCUGCAACUCGCCUACAUGAAC
Molecule: ribosomal RNA, 549 nt
Filed under: uncultured bacterium
Lineage: Bacteria
Description: bacterial SSU rRNA
Rfam family: Bacterial small subunit ribosomal RNA
Source: RNAcentral